UUAACGUGUGCCCGAGUCAUUGGGUGUUACGAAACCCAGAGGCGAAGUGAAAGUGAAGGCCUGACCUUGUCGUCUGGGCUGAGGUGAGAUCCCGUCGUUUCCCGUGUAAGGUGCCACCGAGCAGUCGAACGGCGGGCGCAUCACCUGCCCGUCCCAUGGUGUGGUCAUGUGUCUUCGGGCGCGUGCGUCACCGGGGCGGAGCCUGAGCGCACACGUUGAGACCCGAAAGAUGGUGAACUAUGCUUGCGCAGGUUGAAGCCAGAGGAAACUCUGGUGGAGGACCGCAGCGAUUCUGACGUGCAAAUCGAUCGUCUAACGUGAGUAUAGGGGCGAAAGACUAAUCGAACCAUCUAUACUGC
This 359-nucleotide ribosomal RNA is filed under the name Rugogaster hydrolagi. RNAcentral describes it as "eukaryotic LSU rRNA". It matches the Rfam family "Eukaryotic large subunit ribosomal RNA", at positions 675 to 951 of the family's 3401-position model. The record is from RNAcentral. Lineage: Eukaryota; Metazoa; Platyhelminthes; Trematoda; Rugogastridae.